RNAcentral lists this ribosomal RNA (492 nucleotides) under uncultured bacterium. RNAcentral's name for it is "partial 16S ribosomal RNA". It matches the Rfam family "Bacterial small subunit ribosomal RNA", at positions 29 to 507 of the family's 1533-position model. The record is from RNAcentral.
AGUGAACGCUGGCGGUAGGCCUAACACAUGCAAGUCGAACGGCAGCACAGUAAGAGCUUGCUCUUACGGGUGGCGAGUGGCGGACGGGUGAGGAAUACAUCGGAAUCUACUUUUUCGUGGGGGAUAACGUGGGGAAACUUACGCUAAUACCGCAUACGACCUACGGGUGAAAGCAGGGGAUCUUCGGACCUUGCGCGAUUGAAUGAGCCGAUGUCGGAUUAGCUAGUUGGCGGGGUAAAGGCCCACCAAGGCGACGAUCCGUAGCUGGUCUGAGAGGAUGAUCAGCCACACUGGAACUGAGACACGGUCCAGACUCCUACGGGAGGCAGCAGUGGGGAAUAUUGGACAAUGGGCGCAAGCCUGAUCCAGCCAUACCGCGUGGGUGAAGAAGGCCUCCGGGUUGUAAAGCCCUUUUGUUGGGAAAGAAAAGCAGCAGGUUAAUACCCCGCUGUUCUGACGGUACCCAAAGAAUAAGCACCGGCUAACUUCGUG